Molecule: ribosomal RNA, 628 nt
Filed under: uncultured bacterium
Lineage: Bacteria
Description: bacterial SSU rRNA
Rfam family: Bacterial small subunit ribosomal RNA
Source: RNAcentral
UAAAGAUUCAUCGCUGAUAGAUAGGCAUGCGUUCCAUUAGGCAGUUGGCGGGGUAACGGCCCACCAAACCGACGAUGGAUAGGGGCUCUGAGAGGAAGGUCCCCCACAUUGGUACUGAGACACGGACCAAACUCCUACGGGAGGCAGCAGUGAGGAAUAUUGGUCAAUGGGCGUAAGCCUGAACCAGCCAAGUCGCGUGAGGGAUGAAGGUUCUAUGGAUCGUAAACCUCUUUUAUAAGGGAAUAAAGUGUGGGACGUGUCCUAUUUUGUAUGUACCUUAUGAAUAAGGAUCGGCUAACUCCGUGCCAGCAGCCGCGGUAAUACGGAGGAUCCGAGCGUUAUCCGGAUUUAUUGGGUUUAAAGGGUGCGUAGGCGGCCUUUUAAGUCAGCGGUGAAAGUCUGUGGCUCAACCAUAGAAUUGCCGUUGAAACUGGGGGGCUUGAGUAUGUUUGAGGCAGGCGGAAUGCGUGGUGUAGCGGUGAAAUGCUUAGAUAUCACGCAGAACCCCGAUUGCGAAGGCAGCCUGCCAAGCCAUGACUGACGCUGAUGCACGAAAGCGUGGGGAUCAAACAGGAUUAGAUACCCUGGUAGUCCACGCAGUAAACGAUGAUCACUAGCUGUUUGCGAU